AACUUUCAACAACGGAUCUCUUGGCUCUCGCAUCGAUGAAGAACGCAGCGAAAUGCGAUAAGUAAUGUGAAUUGCAGAAUUCAGUGAAUCAUCGAAUCUUUGAACGCACCUUGCGCUCCUUGGUAUUCCGAGGAGCAUGCCCGUUCGAGUGUCU
Molecule: ribosomal RNA, 154 nt
Filed under: Dextrinocystis calamicola
Lineage: Eukaryota; Fungi; Basidiomycota; Agaricomycetes; Trechisporales; Hydnodontaceae
Description: 5.8S ribosomal RNA
Rfam family: 5.8S ribosomal RNA
About the family: 5.8S ribosomal RNA (5.8S rRNA) is a component of the large subunit of the eukaryotic ribosome. It is transcribed by RNA polymerase I as part of the 45S precursor that also contains 18S and 28S rRNA.
Source: RNAcentral